Molecule: long non-coding RNA, 1303 nt
Organism: Dendroctonus ponderosae (mountain pine beetle)
Lineage: Eukaryota; Metazoa; Arthropoda; Insecta; Coleoptera; Curculionidae
Exons: 2
Source: RefSeq, a predicted model, not a curated record
GGUGUGAUUUUGGUAGGCAAACGCCACCCUUCUGCUGCCUUCGCUGGGCAAUGGGGUGUUUGCCACACUAUUAGAGGCCAUUUGGAAGCGAGAACGCAUCAAAACAAUUUUGUUCGUCCAGACGUGCGGCGGAAACUAAAUAAACUGAAUCACAAACCGAAUGUAUUUCGAAAUUUGGUGCCACUCGGCUACAUUGAAACCAAUGGGCUGUUGACGGGGCCGAUGCCUUGGGAGCACUUUCUUGGAAAAAUCAGCGGAAAAUAUAGAGUCCAAGUCGAUGACUGAGGGAAAACAGGGAACGAGGAAUAAGGAGAAAUAUGAUGACGUUACCAACGGUUUGAUUUGGCCAACAUCCAAUGUUCAGAGAAGUUAAUUUGAGGAAAAAAUUAUAUUGAUUUCUCUUCUUUUCAAUCAAAUGUCUUCAUAUACUGGGUGUCCCAUCAGCAACGCUCUGCGCUAAACAAAAAAAUUAUAUGGAAAAGUUGAAUUGAAAGUUUUCAGAUUACCUAAACAGGUUCAAUAAGUAUUCAAAAAGUUGUCUUUUGUAAUAAUUGUAACUCACUUUUUUAUUUUUUAUGAUAUUUUUAUGUCUUGCUCGCAAUGGAAAACGCAUGUGAUUUAAUUUCAGUUUGUCAACAUUUUUUUUUUUAAACCGCUCAUUUUGUUCAAUAUUUUUAGUUUCUUGUCCUUAUUUUUCUUCAUAAUCUGUUUAUCAUUUAAGUCACAAUUUGCUCAAGUGCAAUUUCAGAAGCAAUACGUUUCCACAGAAUGUAGCAAAUUUAGAAACAAAAAAAAAAUAAGUGGAAGAAUUAAUCGAGAAAAUAUAAAAUCUAACUUAGGACGUUAAUGUUUCAUGUAAACUCGCCCAUUUUUAACACUUUCUGGAACGCCAUACUUACACUUCAUUACUAACUUUGCUAAAAACUUGUUCAACCGGCUUUCAAAUGCCUCUUUUUCACAAUUUUUCUCUCAUGAUUUGCUCAGCCUUCGACAGGGAUUCCUCUAAAUGAAAUACUUUGUACGUAUUCUCGUCAUUGCCCAUGUGUUUCUUAAAUUUUUUCAAUGUUUGUUGUUGUGUGUACCUAGAAAUUAUGAAAGUUAUAAAUUAUAAAUAAAUAAAAUUAAAAACAAAGAAACCAGUUUUUCAAACGCAAAGUUAGUUUCUUGUGCUUUUGUAGACGUAGUAGAAGUAGAACCGAAACUUUCAAUAUUAUACGGGGUGAUUGAGUUUCAAUAACAAGAAAUGCAUAAAGCUGUACAUUUACCUGAGUUUUCAAAAGUUUUAAUACAUUUUUACCUCAAA